GCUGCAAGUCGUACGCGAARGUCCCUUCGGGGCCGAGUAGAGUGGCGAACUGGUGAGUACAAGGUGAAUAACGUGCCUCAAAGUGGGGGAUAACUCCGCGAAAGCGGAGCUAAUACCGCAUGGUCUUUCCCGUUUAAGAGUGGGAAAGUAAAGCAGUGAUGCGCUUUGAGAUCGGUUCACCUCCCAUUAGCUUGUUGGUGGGGUAACGGCCCACCAAGGCUGCGAUGGGUAGCUGGUCUGAGAGGAUGGUCAGCCACACUGGGACUGAGAUACGGCCCAGACUCCUACGGGGGGCAGCAGUCUAGAGGCCUUGACAAUGCCCGAAAGGGUGAUCAAGCGACGCCGCGUGCGGGAUGAAGGGCUUCGGCUUGUAAACCGCUUUUGUUUGGGACGAAGGCCUUGGUCGUGAACCAGGGAUUGACGGUACCAGA
This 431-nucleotide ribosomal RNA is filed under the name uncultured bacterium. RNAcentral's name for it is "bacterial SSU rRNA". It matches the Rfam family "Bacterial small subunit ribosomal RNA", at positions 53 to 482 of the family's 1533-position model. The record is from RNAcentral.